RNAcentral lists this ribosomal RNA (420 nucleotides) under Ceratobranchia obtusirostris. RNAcentral's name for it is "partial 12S ribosomal RNA". It matches the Rfam family "Bacterial small subunit ribosomal RNA", at positions 774 to 1395 of the family's 1533-position model. Lineage: Eukaryota; Metazoa; Chordata; Actinopteri; Characiformes; Stevardiidae. The record is from RNAcentral.
GGGAUUAGAUACCCCACUAUGCUUAGCCUUAAACCUAGAUGUUAAAUUUACAAGCAACAUCCGCCAGGGUACUACAAGCGCUAGCUUAAAACCCAAAGGACUUGACGGUGUCUCAGACCCACCUAGAGGAGCCUGUUCUAGAACCGAUAAUCCCCGUUAAACCUCACCACCCCUUGUUUUCCCCGCCUAUAUACCGCCGUCGCAAGCUUACCCUGUGAAGGUCUCAUAGUAAGCAAAGUGGGUAAAUCCCAAAACGUCAGGUCGAGGUGUAGCUUACGAGGUGGGAAGAAAUGGGCUACAUUUUCUAUACCAGAAUAAUACGAACAGCACUAUGAAAUUGGUGCUCGAAGGUGGAUUUAGUAGUAAAAAAUAAAUAGAGAGUCUUUUUGAACCAGGCUCUGAGACGCGCACACACCGCCC